This 45-nucleotide non-coding RNA is filed under the name Schistosoma curassoni. Lineage: Eukaryota; Metazoa; Platyhelminthes; Trematoda; Strigeidida; Schistosomatidae. The record is from RNAcentral.
CUCCAGCUGAUGAGUCCCAAAUACGACGAAACGCGCGUUCUGGAU